CAUAACUGAUCUGUACCACUGCAAUCAGACCAACGGCAUGGCGACCAGUAUAGGUAGCACUGGUCGUUGUUCUUGACCACCUGUAUACAUGCAUGUUCUACAGUUCAGCCAGUUCCGACCCACCACGACCGUUGUUCUUGUCCACCAACGCUAGCAGAGUUUCGGCGGCCAAAGCUGUGCCUCCUCUUCAUUCUCAUGCCCACCUUCCCUCCCUCGCAAGCCUGAAUCCCA
RNAcentral lists this long non-coding RNA (231 nucleotides) under Hordeum vulgare. RNAcentral describes it as "long non-coding RNA (HVUL_LNC005181)". Lineage: Eukaryota; Viridiplantae; Streptophyta; Magnoliopsida; Poales; Poaceae. The record is from RNAcentral.